This 251-nucleotide ribosomal RNA is filed under the name uncultured prokaryote. RNAcentral describes it as "partial 16S rRNA". It matches the Rfam family "Bacterial small subunit ribosomal RNA", at positions 525 to 775 of the family's 1533-position model. The record is from RNAcentral.
ACGUAGGUGGCGAGCGUUGUCCGGAAGUACUGGGUGUAAAGGGUGCGUAGGCGGAUUUGCAAGUCAGGUGUGAAAACUAUCGGCUUAACCGGUAGCCUGCACUUGAAUCUGUAAGUCUUGAGUGGUGAAGAGGUAAGCGGAAAUCCUAGUGUGGCGGUGAAAUGCGUCGAUAUUAGGAGGAACACCGAUGGCGAUGUCAGCUUACUGAGCAAUAGCUCACGCUGAGGCACGCAUGCAUAGGGAGCACACAG